This 652-nucleotide ribosomal RNA is filed under the name uncultured marine eukaryote. RNAcentral describes it as "SSU rRNA". It matches the Rfam family "Eukaryotic small subunit ribosomal RNA", at positions 617 to 1271 of the family's 1831-position model. The record is from RNAcentral.
AGUUAAAAAGCUCGUAGUUGGAUGUCUAGCUUUGCGCGGACGGCCCGCCUUCGGGUUGAGUGCUGGAAGCGCUAGCUUGUUUUCCGGUUUGUGUCCCUUCCCUUGACUGUGGCGGGGUUCACGAUCCGGAUCUGUUACUUUGAAGAAAUUCGGGUGUUCAAAGCAGGCUUAUGCCGUGAAGACUGCAGCAUGGAAUAACAACAUAGGGCUAUCGCGUCUCAUUUUGUUGGUUCUGGGAUCGUAGCAAUGAUUGAUACGGACCGUUGGGGGUGCUGCUAUUCCGCGGCCAGAGGUGAAAUUCUCAGAUUCCCGGAAGAGCAACUUAUGCGAAAGCGUUCACCAAGGAGGUCCUGUUUAAUCGAGAACGAAAGUUGGGGGAUCGAAGACGAUCAGAUACCGUCGUAGUCUCAACCAUAAACUAUGCCGACUAGGGAUUGGAGGACGUUGACUUAUCCGACUUCUUCAGCACCUUAUGAGAAAUCAAAGUCUUUGGGUUCCGGGGGAGUAUGGUCGCAAGGCUGAAACUUAAAGGAAUUGACGGAAGGACACCACCAGAAGUGGAACUUGCGGCUUAAUUUGACUCAACACGGGAAAACUUUCCAGGUCCAGACAUAGUGAGGAUUGACAGAUUGAAGCUCUUUCUUGAUUCUAU